GAUGAACGCUGGCGGCGUGCCUAAUACAUGCAAGUCGAGCGAACAGAUGAGGAGCUUGCUCCUCUGACGUUAGCGGCGGACGGGUGAGUAACACGUGGAUAACCUACCUAUAAGACUGGGAUAACUUCGGGAAACCGGAGCUAAUACCGGAUAAUAUAAUGAACCGCAUGGUUCAAUAGUGAAAGACGGUUUUGCUGUCACUUAUAGAUGGAUCCGCGCCGCAUUAGCUAGUUGGUAAGGUAACGGCUUACCAAGGCAACGAUGCGUAGCCGACCUGAGAGGGUGAUCGGCCACACUGGAACUGAGACACGGUCCAGACUCCUACGGGAGGCAGCAGUAGGGAAUCUUCCGCAAUGGGCGAAAGCCUGACGGAGCAACGCCGCGUGAGUGAUGAAGGUCUUCGGAUCGUAAAACUCUGUUAUUAGGGAAGAACAAAUGUGUAAGUAACUAUGCACGUCUUGACGGUACCUAAUCAGAAAGCCACGGCUAACUACGU
This 496-nucleotide ribosomal RNA is filed under the name uncultured bacterium. RNAcentral's name for it is "partial 16S ribosomal RNA". It matches the Rfam family "Bacterial small subunit ribosomal RNA", at positions 28 to 506 of the family's 1533-position model. The record is from RNAcentral.